GAGGGAGAGGAUGAAGUCGCUGGCUUUUUUGUAGGAACCUUCUUUCGCUUUACCCCCGAAACCUUGCCCUUCUUCUCUGACGGCUGUCGGGCUGGUUGUGCAGCAGUAGCAGCGCCGGGCGCGCGUUCAUUCACGGUGGGGCCAGUCGAAUUUCCGCCCUGCAUGACGAUGUUGCCCUGCCACUUGCGGACGGACGCGAUGGUGCCUUGAGCGACGGCGGGGGCAACAUGGCUG
Molecule: long non-coding RNA, 234 nt
Filed under: Hordeum vulgare
Lineage: Eukaryota; Viridiplantae; Streptophyta; Magnoliopsida; Poales; Poaceae
Description: long non-coding RNA (HVUL_LNC002606)
Source: RNAcentral